RNA transcript from Homo sapiens (human), 2509 nucleotides. NCBI's taxonomy places the organism in Eukaryota, Metazoa, Chordata, Mammalia, Primates, Hominidae. The record is from RefSeq and is marked validated.
ACUUCCGGCGUAGCCAUGGCGGCUAACGCUACUACCAACCCGUCGCAGCUGCUGCCCUUAGGUAAUCGCCGUCCUUUGGGGAGCAGGAACAGGGAGCUGACAUUCAGGAUUGGGGGCCGAGGGGCUGUUCCGAGGCAGGCCCUGGCCGAGUGUGGGGAAAUGUAUAAGACCAAAUGCGGUUCGACUCUGAGCUCCAAGUCUUCGCGACAGCAGGCCGCACCUGCUCUUUAACGUGGUCGGGCUCCUCCAGGCAAGGACUUUGACUUCUCAAACCAGACCUUCACUGGAAAAGGUCCACAUUUAGUGAACGCGUCGUCGGCCUACUUUGUUGUGAGCCCGCCUCUGCAGUGUUAUAGAGCUUGUGGACAAAUGUAUAGGAUCAAGAAUUCACAUCGUGAUGAAGAGUGAUAAGGAAAUUGUUGGUACUCUUCUAGGAUUUGAUGACUUUGUCAAUAUGGUACUGGAAGAUGUCACUGAGUUUGAAAUCACACCAGAAGGAAGAAGGAUUACUAAAUUAGAUCAGAUUUUGCUAAAUGGAAAUAAUAUAACAAUGCUGGUUCCUGGAGGAGAAGGACCUGAAGUGUGAAUGAGUUUCCUUGACUUACACUAGAUUUUGUUUUGGCUUAUAAUGACAAGAAAAUGGAAUUUUUUUUCCCACUUUCUAAUGUUUAAAUCCCAUAAAGCUAAGUUUCCCGUUAAAGGGAAGUGCUUUGAAGAUGUGUACCCAUUUUUGUAAGUUAAUCAUGAUUAUCCUGGAAAAAGAAGAAAAGAGCUUCUUCUUUGCAGAUGAAAAUAAAGGUGUUUUUGGUUAACUGUCAUUUUGUUUAUUCUACUGCAGUAGCCAGUGGAACAAAGUUUGUAGUUAUUUUGCCACUUACUUUUCUGUCAUUAUAUGCUUAUUUGUUUUGUCAUUUACGUGACCAUUUGAUUCUCAAACAAAAGUUGUUCCAAACAAAAUGAUGAACUUUGAUUUGAACAGGUGCAUUUAAACAACCGGAAAUGAUCACUUAGAAAAUUCAAUUAAAAUGCUGUUGUUUUGUAAUGAGGAUUUUUCUUCUGAUUUCAAAUUCCAUGAACUCCUAUUGAAAACAAACAAUGUACAGGUAAUAUAUGCACAUUGUAGAAAUGCAGGAAUUAUCUAUUGGAAUUACCCUAAAGAUAGAAAUUUUAUCUAUUUGCUUAUAAAAUUGAUUCAGAAGGUUAUUACCUUAAUGUAGUUAUUACUGAAUUGCCAGGAAAUGAGUGGAGACAGAGCUUUAAGAUAAAGGAUACUAAAAGCAGCUAAGAACUCCAGGACUCAGGUCAAAUCAAGGAACUGAUAAUAAGAUCAUUGAACUGUAUAAAUUAAGUCAAAGAACUCCUAUUAAAAACAAACAGGUAAUAUAUGCACAUCGUAGAAUUGUAGGUAAGCAAAAAGGAGAAGGUUGAUCAUGCUUUGCUGUAUGUCUUCGUAGACUUUCUCAGUCCACUCUCAGUACACGUUUUAUUUUACUUGCUCAUCCUGAUUAUACUGUUUUUACCCUCCACUUAAGUCAUUUUUUGAAUUUAAAUGGUGAAUAUCUUUCUGUGUCAAAUAUUUCAACAUUAAUAUGUACAUAGUAUUAAAUGGAUUUACUAUAAAUUAUUUAGCCUAUUCUUACUGGCCACAGUAGUCUAACUAGAUCUUUAUACAUUUGUAUUUUUCUAGAAUAAACUCAAAAAUGUGUAAGAUCAAAGGGUAUAUAUUGUGUUGCCAAGAAAAAGUUUGUGCCAAUGUAUAUUUUUGCCAGGAGUCUUUCAUAGUACCAUUUAUAUCCUUCCCAGCAUUAGCUGUGUUCUACCUUCUCUCCUCUUUGCCAUUUUUACAAGAAAACCGGGCAUGUCUAAAGUUUUCUUUUCCUUUUUUUUUUUUUUUUUUUUUUUUUGGAGAGUCUCACUGGAAUGCAGUGGCAUGAUCUUGGCUCCCUGCAACCUCCAGUCAGGCUGGUGUGCCUUGUCGCGAUAUCAACGCGACCUCCGCCUCCCAGGUUCAAGUGAUUGUCCUGCCUCACCCUCCUGAGUAGCUGGGAUUACAGGUGGGCGCCACCACUCCCAUCUAAUUUUUAUAUUUUUAGAGAGAUGGGGUUUUACCUUGUUGGCCAGGCUGGUCUUGAACUCCUGACCUCUAGUGAUCCACCUGCCUCAGCCUCCCAAAGUGCCGGUAUUAAAGGCAUGAGCCACCAGGCCUGGCCUAAAAUUUUCUUGAUUAAUUUUGAUCUCAUUUGUAUUUUGUAAAUGACUUAUCUGUUGAGGCUUUUGCCAUUGAGAUGUUUGUCUUUUUCUUACUAAUUUGUAAGAAUUCUUGAUGGGUUUCUGUUAGUCAUGUAUUUUGCUAAUAAUUUCCCUAGUUUGUAGUUUGCCACUUAGUGCUAUUUUUGACAUAAAUGAUGUAUUUUAAUGUAGUUGCAUGUUGACCUAGUCCAUUAUGGUUUUUGUAUUUGGUCCACGUGGAUUGGAAAACCUUUGCUUUGAUUAUACUUUUCUUUGGGCA